This 301-nucleotide ribosomal RNA is filed under the name uncultured bacterium. RNAcentral describes it as "partial 16S ribosomal RNA". It matches the Rfam family "Bacterial small subunit ribosomal RNA", at positions 510 to 808 of the family's 1533-position model. The record is from RNAcentral.
CGUCGCCACGGGAAUACGGAGGGAGCUAGCGUUGUUCGGAAUUACUGGGCGUAAAGCGCACGUAGGCGGUUAUUCAAGUCAGAGGUGAAAGCCCGGGGCUCAACCCCGGAACUGCCUUUGAAACUAGAUGACUGGAAUCUUGGAGAGGUCAGUGGAAUUCCGAGUGUAGAGGUGAAAUUCGUAGAUAUUCGGAAGAACACCAGUGGCGAAGGCGACUGACUGGACAAGUAUUGACGCUGAGGUGCGAAAGCGUGGGGAGCAAACAGGAUUAGAUACCCGCGUAGUCCCUGUCUCUUAUACA